CCCUUAGACACUCUAGGCCGCACGCGCGCUACAAUGGUCUUCGCAAACGGAUGCAUUCUCGAAGGAGAAUGCCAAUCUUGGAAUCUAUGCCUUGGUCGGGACAGUUGCUUGCAAUUUUUCGACUCGAACCAGGAAUUCCUUGUAAUCGUGAUUCAUCACAUCACGAUGAAUACGUCCCUGCCCUUUGUACACACCGCCCGUCGCUCCUACCGAUCGAAGAGUUAGGUGAAUUGUUUUGAUCGAUAAGAUUUGACUAUGGUCAACUCUCGUUGUGAAAUUCUGUGAAUCUGACUGUUUAGAGGAAGGAAAAGUCGUAACA
This 319-nucleotide ribosomal RNA is filed under the name uncultured eukaryote. RNAcentral's name for it is "partial 18S ribosomal RNA". It matches the Rfam family "Eukaryotic small subunit ribosomal RNA", at positions 1470 to 1796 of the family's 1831-position model. The record is from RNAcentral.